RNAcentral lists this long non-coding RNA (249 nucleotides) under Elaeis guineensis (African oil palm). Its description in RNAcentral is "long non-coding RNA (EGUI_LNC072278)". Lineage: Eukaryota; Viridiplantae; Streptophyta; Magnoliopsida; Arecales; Arecaceae. The record is from RNAcentral.
CCUGGCCUUUAAGCUCUAUAGGAGAGUUAUAUUGAUCACUUCCACCUCUCCAUUUGCCUAUGGGUGGCCUACCAAUGUGAAAUGAUGUUCUAUUCUAUGGCUUUCAUAGAAUUUGUAGAGUUGAGCACCACUAAAUUGUCUAUUGUUGUCUGUGAUCAGCACUUUGGGAAGACCAUACUAGCAUGUAACAGGUUUUCAAAUAAAAUCUUUCACUCUUACCUUGGUUAUGCAAGCCAAAGGCUCAGCUUC